GAGUUGGUGUGCAUAAUGGUUUGAGUGUUGGACUGUGACUCUGAGAGUCCAGGGUUCGAAUCCCCCUCUCCUCG
Phrynosoma platyrhinos (Desert horned lizard) is the source of this 74-nucleotide non-coding RNA. Lineage: Eukaryota; Metazoa; Chordata; Lepidosauria; Squamata; Phrynosomatidae. The record is from the annotation of a GenBank genome assembly.